This 468-nucleotide ribosomal RNA is filed under the name uncultured bacterium. RNAcentral describes it as "partial 16S ribosomal RNA". It matches the Rfam family "Bacterial small subunit ribosomal RNA", at positions 28 to 507 of the family's 1533-position model. The record is from RNAcentral.
GACGAACGCUGGCGGCGUGCUUAACACAUGCAAGUCGAACGGAAAGGCCCUGCUUUUGUGGGGGGCUCGAGUGGCGAACGGGUGAGAACCACGUGUGUAACCUGCCUUUGACUUUGGGAUAAUUUCAGGAAACUGGGGCUACUACCGGAAAGGAUCUCCUGCAGCGUGGUGGGGGUUGGAAAGUUGCGGCGGUUGGGGUUGGACUCGCGGCUUGUCAGCUUGCUGGUGGGGUAGUGGCUUACCAAGGCUUUGACGGGUAGCCGGCCUGAGAGGGUGACCGGCCACAUUGGAACUGGAAUGAGGCACAGACUCCUACGGGAGGCAGCAGUGGGGAAUAUUGCACUAUGGGCGGGAGCCUGAUGCGGCAACGCCGCGCGCGGGAUGACGGCCUUCGGGUUGUAAUCCGCUUUCCCCUGUGACGAAACGUGAGUGACGGUAAUGGGAGAAGAAGCACCGGCUAACUACGUG